GGCCAGAUUGGUCGGUCCGCCUAACAGCGAGCACUGAUCACGAUCUGGUCUUCCUUCUGGCAAUCUAGACUGCCUUUAACCGGGUGGACUAGAGCACCAGGACGUUUACUUUGAAAAAAUUAGAGUGUUCAAAGCAGGCUCGCGCUUGAAUACAUUAGCAUGGAAUAAUGAAAUAGGAUCAUGGUUCUAUUUUGUUGGUUUCUAGGACCAAGGUA
This 215-nucleotide ribosomal RNA is filed under the name uncultured fungus. Its description in RNAcentral is "partial small subunit ribosomal RNA". The stretch from base 90 to 215 matches the Rfam family "Eukaryotic small subunit ribosomal RNA", at positions 736 to 864 of the family's 1831-position model. Lineage: Eukaryota; Fungi. The record is from RNAcentral.